AUUGAACGCUGGCGGCAUGCCUUACACAUGCAAGUCGAACGGUAACGCGGGGCAACCUGGCGACGAGUGGCGAACGGGUGAGUAAUGCAUCGGAACGUGCCCGGUAGUGGGGGAUAACUGCUCGAAAGAGCAGCUAAUACCGCAUACGACCUGAGGGUGAAAGGGGGGGAUCGCAAGACCUCUCGCUAUCGGAGCGGCCGAUGUCGGAUUAGCUAGUUGGUGGGGUAAAGGCCUACCAAGGCAACGAUCCUUAGCUGGUCUGAGAGGACGACCAGCCACACUGGGACUGAGACCCGGGCCCGACUCCUACGGGAGGCAGCAGUAAGGAAUAUUGGUCAAUGGACGCAAGUCUGAACCAGCCAUGCCGCGUGAAGGAUUAAGGUCCUCUGGAUUGUAAACUUCUUUUAUCUGGGACGAAAAAAGGCUAUUCUUAGUCACUUGACGGUACCAGAUGAAUAAGCACCGGCUAACUCCGUGCCAGCCGCCGCCGUAA
RNAcentral lists this ribosomal RNA (493 nucleotides) under uncultured bacterium. RNAcentral describes it as "partial 16S ribosomal RNA". It matches the Rfam family "Bacterial small subunit ribosomal RNA", at positions 30 to 523 of the family's 1533-position model. The record is from RNAcentral.